Molecule: long non-coding RNA, 583 nt
Organism: Myotis brandtii (Brandt's bat)
Lineage: Eukaryota; Metazoa; Chordata; Mammalia; Chiroptera; Vespertilionidae
Exons: 3
Source: RefSeq, a predicted model, not a curated record
CAGGAGUACCAUGUUCUGCCCCCAAAGAUAGUACCAAGAGGCAAUAGCACAGUCUCCUGUCCCCACUGCCAGCCUGUGAGGACCCAGGACGCAGGUGGUGCUGUCGCCAAGGACCCACUGAGACCAUCUCCCACUGAUGCCCCUCGAUGUCCCCUGUGUGGUCAAGCUGGGUCCCCUGGGUCCCCCGCAGAGGGUGACGGCCCAGACGCAGCCACCUCUGGGGCAGGAAAGUCCACAAGGAGGAACACACCUUCCGCUUCCAGCCCCAAGCAGAGGAGCAAACGAGCGGGGUCCCCACCCCCUUUGCCCUUCGGGACUGUGGUAUCUGGCUGCUGCGCCUUCGGGACCAGCCCCUCCCGCGUUUGCCUACGUCUCCUCGCUUCCUGUGAUGCCUUACCCGUCAGCCACUGUGUAAGAACCCCGUUCCCACCCUCCCAGCCUCUCUGUCUAAUUGCUUAAUAACUAGCAUGGGGCCGUGUCAGGCAGCGGAGCACCUGGGCGCAUGUACCUCUUUGUCUUCUCCUGCGUGUAUGAUGUGCCCGACUGGUGGGAGCAAAGGCAUAGGGCACCUUCGAGCCCCAGA